GAUGAACGCUGGCGGCGUGCCUAAUACAUGCAAGUCGAGCGAACAGACGAGGAGCUUGCUCCUCUGACGUUAGCGGCGGACGGGUGAGUAACACGUGGAUAACCUACCUAUAAGACUGGGAUAACUUCGGGAAACCGGAGCUAAUACCGGAUAAUAUAUUGAACCGCAUGGUUCAAUAGUGAAAGACGGUUUUGCUGUCACUUAUAGAUGGAUCCGCGCCGCAUUAGCUAGUUGGUAAGGUAACGGCUUACCAAGGCGACGAUGCGUAGCCGACCUGAGAGGGGGAUCGCCAACCGUGGAACUGACACAGGGUCCAGCCUCCGACGGGAGGAAGAAGGAGGGAAUCUUCCGCAAGGGGCGAAAGCCGGAGGGAGCAACGCCGCGGGAUUGAUAAAGGUCUUCGGACCAAAAAACUUUGUUAUUGGGAAAAAAAAAAUGUGUAAGAAACUAUGCACGUCUGGACGGUACCUAAUAAAAAGGCCACGGCAAACUACGUG
This 497-nucleotide ribosomal RNA is filed under the name uncultured bacterium. Its description in RNAcentral is "partial 16S ribosomal RNA". It matches the Rfam family "Bacterial small subunit ribosomal RNA", at positions 28 to 507 of the family's 1533-position model. The record is from RNAcentral.